This 254-nucleotide ribosomal RNA is filed under the name uncultured bacterium. RNAcentral's name for it is "partial 16S ribosomal RNA". It matches the Rfam family "Bacterial small subunit ribosomal RNA", at positions 524 to 776 of the family's 1533-position model. The record is from RNAcentral.
CACGUAGGGGGCGAGCGUUGUCCGGAAUCAUUGGGCGUAAAGAGCUCGUAGGCGGCUCGGUAAGUCGGGUGUGAAACCCCCAGGCUCAACCUGGGGACGCCACCCGAUACUGCUGUGGCUAGAGUCCAGUAGGGGAGUGUGGAAUUCCCGGUGUAGCGGUGAAAUGCGCAGAUAUCGGGAAGAACACCGGUGGCGAAGGCGGCGCUCUGGACCGAGACUGACGCUGAGGCGCGAAAGCGUGGGGAGCAAACAGG